Molecule: ribosomal RNA, 484 nt
Filed under: uncultured bacterium
Lineage: Bacteria
Description: partial 16S ribosomal RNA
Rfam family: Bacterial small subunit ribosomal RNA
Source: RNAcentral
AUUGAACGCUGGCGGCAUGCUUUACACAUGCAAGUCGAACGGCAGCGCGGGCUUCGGCCUGGCGGCGAGUGGCGAACGGGUGAGUAAUACAUCGGAACGUGCCCAGUAGUGGGGGAUAGCUCGGCGAAAGCCGGAUUAAUACCGCAUACGACCUGAGGGUGAAAGCGGGGGAUCUUCGGACCUCGCGCUAUUGGAGCGGCCGACGGCAGAUUAGCUAGUUGGUGGGGUAAAGGCCUACCAAGGCGACGAUCGGUAGCUGGUCUGAGAGGGCGACCAGCCACACUGGGACUGAGACACGGCCCAGACUCCUACGGGAGGCAGCAGUGGGGAAUUUUGGACAAUGGGCGAAAGCCUGAUCCAGCAAUGCCGCGUGUGUGAUGAAGGCCUUCGGGUUGUAAAGCACUUUUGGCGGGAACGAAAAGGACUGUGCCAAUACCACGGUUCGAUGACGGUACCCGCAGAAUAAGCACCGGCUAACUACGUG